ACACAGUCAUGUUAGCAGGCACACAGUCAUGUUAGCAGGCACACAGUCAUGUUAGCAGGCACACAGUCAUGUUAGCAGGCAGACAGUCAUGUCUCUAGGCACACAGUCAUGUUAGCAGGCACACAGUCAUGUUAGCAGGCACACAGUCAUGUUAGCAGGCACACAGUCAUGUUAGCAGGCAGACAGUCAUGUUAGCAGGCACACAGUCAUGUUAGCAGGUACACAGUCAUGUUAGCAGGCACACAGUCAUGUCUCUAGGCACACAGUCAUGUUAGCAGGUGCACAGUCAUGUUGGCAGGCAGACAGUCAUGUUAGCAGGCACACAGUCAUGUUAGCAGGCACACAGUCAUGUUAGCAGGCAGACAGUCAUGUUAGCAGGCACACAGUCAUGUUAUCAGGCACACUGUCAUGUCUCUAGGCACACAGUCAUGUUAGCAGGCACACAGUCAUGUUAGCAGGCACACAGUCAUGUUAGCAGGCAGACAGUCAUGUUAGCAGGCACACUGUCAUGUCUCUAGGUGCACAGUCAUGUUAGCAGGCACACAGUCAUGUUAGCAGGCACACAGUCAUGUUAGCAGGCAGACAGUCAUGUUAGCAGGCACACAGUCAUGCUAGCAGGCACACUGUCAUGUUAGCAGGCACACAGUCAUGUUAGCAGGCACACAGUCAUGCUAGCAGGUACACUGUCAUGUUAGCAGGCACACAGUCAUGUUAGCAGGCACACAGUCAUGUUAGCAGGCACACAGUCAUGUUAGCAGGUACACUGUCAUGUUAGCAGGUACACAGUCAUGUUAGCAGGCACACAGUCAUGUCUCUAGGUACACAGUCAUGUCUCUAGGUACACUGUCAUGUUAGCAGGCACACAGUCAUGUUAGCAGGCACACAGUCAUGUUAGCAGGCACACAGUCAUGUUAGCAGGCACACAGUCAUGUUAGCAGGCACACAGUCAUGUUAGCAGGUACACAGUCAUGUUAGCAGACACACAGUCAUGUUAGCAGGCACACUGUCAUGUUAGCAGGUACACUGCCAUGUUAUCAGGCACACAGUCAUGUUAGCAGGCACACAGUCAUGUUAGCAGGCACACGGACAUGUUAGCAGGCACACAGUCAUGUUAGCAGGCACACAGUCAUGUUAGCAGGCACACAGUCAUGUUAGCAGG
Molecule: long non-coding RNA, 1159 nt
Filed under: Salmo salar (Atlantic salmon)
Lineage: Eukaryota; Metazoa; Chordata; Actinopteri; Salmoniformes; Salmonidae
Description: lncRNA (ENSSSAG00000106204.1)
Source: RNAcentral